AAUAUUGGACAAUGGGGGGAACCCUGAUCCAGCCAUGCCGGGUGUGUGAGGAAGGUCUUCGGAUUGUAAAGCACUUUCAUUUGGGAGGAAGGGUUGUAGGUUAAUACCCUGCACGUUUGACGUUACCAACCGAAUACGCACCGGCUAACUUCGUGCCAGCAGCCGCGGUAAUAGGUAGGUGGCGAGCGUUGUCCGGAAUUACUGGGGGGAAAGGAGGCGUAGGUGGAUACUUAAGUGGGAUGUGGAAUCACCGGGCUCAACCCGGGAACUGCAUUCCAAACUGGCAAGCUAGAGUAUGGCAGAGGGUGGUGGAAUUACCUGUGUAGCGGUGAAGUACGUAGAUAUAGGAAGGAACACCAGUGGCGAAGGCGACCACCUGGACUGAUACUGACACUGAGGUGCGAAAGCGUGGGGAGCAAACAGG
RNAcentral lists this ribosomal RNA (424 nucleotides) under uncultured bacterium. RNAcentral describes it as "partial 16S ribosomal RNA". It matches the Rfam family "Bacterial small subunit ribosomal RNA", at positions 360 to 776 of the family's 1533-position model. The record is from RNAcentral.